Molecule: long non-coding RNA, 1790 nt
Organism: Aegilops tauschii subsp. strangulata
Lineage: Eukaryota; Viridiplantae; Streptophyta; Magnoliopsida; Poales; Poaceae
Source: RefSeq, a predicted model, not a curated record
CCUCCACAAAUCCAGAUCGUCUUCCUCCCCUUCCUGUGUUCUGUACCAAGCCUGGAGCUAGGGCUAAGCAAAAUCUAGGCGAGCUCUCUCUCUGUGUUGGUCCCUCGUUACACCAGAUGCGCCCUCCCCCCGUCCAAUUUAUCUCUCUCUGUCCGGCUUCCGGCGUUGACGCAUCAGUGCCCAGAAUCCAACUCAGGUGGUCCACUGGCGGCUCGCCGCGAUUGCGUCCACCUAGCGACGCGGCGCUGUAGCUUCGGGGAUAUCGAUGUUGCGGCUGAUUAGGAGCCAACCAUCCUCUUUUUACUGAUAAAGGAUCCACGGUAUGAUCACCAAUUUUGGUUCUUCUGUUAUCCAAGUUCCCAAUCCUUCGGUUCACUGAUUCGUUUGAAUGCAGUGGCAUUUGGUAAAUUGAAUAGUAUGAGCACCGAAUCAAUGUGCCACAUGCAGUUCUAAUGGAUAAUUUUACCAGUAAUUGUAGGCGAUUGGAAAAAUAGACGAGGGGAAAUAUGUUUGUACAAUCUGUAUGUCAAGCACAAGUUAGAAGGGCUACAAAAAUUAUCCUCAGUUGCAACUAUAAGACUGGAAAAUAGACAGUUGGUACUUUUAUAUGAAGAUAUCAAGGCUCCAGCAGGCCUCGGCUCAUGUUUAUAAAUGUUUCCACGUGAUAGUUAGUACUUUUAUAUGAAGAAACCAGUGCUACAACAGCCAUUUCCUCGAGCUUAGUGCUAGCAGGCAGAACACAGGUAAUGCCAGCCUGCUCAAUUUUUUUCAGUUUCGGCGUUCAGUGUUACUCAGUUUAGGGCCAUCAGUUGCUAAAAUCUAGUUUAAUCAUAUUGUUCCUAUCAUCAACGCCUCCACUCUACACUAACAUUGACACUAGUGUGUUUGUCGCAGAUGGAUCAAUUGCUUCAUUAGAUAAAAGAAACAGCACACCCUGCCAACAAUACGAUAAUUCUCGUUGUGUCAACAUAUAUUCAGGACCAUACUUUCCAGAGGUAUACUCUAAUAAUGUGGUGCUUGUAUUGCAAGUGAAGCAUGAGCUGAAUAGGUAAAUCGUAAGGGUAAAAGUUUAUCCUCAGCCGGUGCAGCAAGAUUGGAAAUAGACAAACGAGCAGUGUGAUUAUAAACAUUUUUCAUGUUUUCCAAGUAAAAAGAAAGUUUCCAUAUGACUGUCAGUACUUGCGUAUGAACAAGUUAAUACCUGGGAUUUAUGGUACAAGUCAGCAGUAUAUUAUUUGCUACGCAACUCUUGUUAUUCAUUUUGUUGAUUUUGAAUGCCCUUUUUGAUGCCCAACUGAGGAAACCCUCACUAAUUUUCAUGUUUCAGAUUUUAUCUUGCCAGAAUUCUCACUAUUAGAACCUGUACCUACAACCAGCUAUUGUUCCUGACUUCAUUUUUGUGCAGGUUUAAUGCAAUUAAGGAUUAACCCAUGUUUUCUUGUGUGUCGGCGGGUGAAGACUUUCAUGGCUGGGGUCACAACAAUCUCCUAAGUGUAGAGCUUAGAUUAGGAAGAAAUAAAUCAUGUAGUACAUGGCUUUUGAAGUUCAGAUGGACAACUUUUGUAAAGUUUGUGUCAUUUUUUGGAUCAAAUUCUUGCGAUGUUCCCACAUGUAAAUAUCUUGUCGUUUUUACAUGGAAACGGCUAAAAAAAUUGUGUCCAGCGCGAUCACAUAAUUUAGUUAUAAACCUUCAAGCAUUACAACUGAUUGAAGAAUAGAUCACAUGCAUCCUUUGCCAGAAUCAUUUAACACUGCAAUUCAGUUUGUGAGAAUUUUUGUUGCACUUUGAA